RNAcentral lists this ribosomal RNA (857 nucleotides) under uncultured Corynebacterium sp. RNAcentral's name for it is "bacterial SSU rRNA". It matches the Rfam family "Bacterial small subunit ribosomal RNA", at positions 8 to 878 of the family's 1533-position model. The record is from RNAcentral. Lineage: Bacteria; Bacillati; Actinomycetota; Actinomycetes; Mycobacteriales; Corynebacteriaceae.
AGAGUUUGAUCCUGGCUCAGGACGAACGCUGGCGGCGUGCUUAACACAUGCAAGUCGAACGGUAAGGCCCCAGCUUGCUGGGGUACACGAGUGGCGAACGGGUGAGUAACACGUGGGUGACCUGCCCCGCACUUCGGGAUAAGCCUGGGAAACUGGGUCUAAUACCGGAUAGGACCGCACCGUGAGGGUGUGGUGGAAAGUUUUUCGGUGUGGGAUGGGCCCGCGGCCUAUCAGCUUGUUGGUGGGGUAAUGGCCUACCAAGGCGGCGACGGGUAGCCGGCCUGAGAGGGUGGACGGCCACAUUGGGACUGAGACACGGCCCAGACUCCUACGGGAGGCAGCAGUGGGGAAUAUUGCACAAUGGGCGGAAGCCUGAUGCAGCGACGCCGCGUGGGGGAUGACGGCCUUCGGGUUGUAAACUCCUUUCACCAUCGACGAAGGUUUUCUGACGGUAGAUGGAGAAGAAGCACCGGCUAACUACGUGCCAGCAGCCGCGGUAAUACGUAGGGUGCGAGCGUUGUCCGGAAUUACUGGGCGUAAAGAGCUCGUAGGUGGUUUGUCGCGUCGUCUGUGAAAUUCCGGGGCUUAACUCCGGGCGUGCAGGCGAUACGGGCAUAACUUGAGUACUGUAGGGGAGACUGGAAUUCCUGGUGUAGCGGUGAAAUGCGCAGAUAUCAGGAGGAACACCGGUGGCGAAGGCGGGUCUCUGGGCAGUAACUGACGCUGAGGAGCGAAAGCAUGGGUAGCGAACAGGAUUAGAUACCCUGGUAGUCCAUGCCGUAAACGGUGGGCGCUAGGUGUAGGGGUCUUCCACGACUUCUGUGCCGUAGCUAACGCAUUAAGCGCCCCGCCUGGGG